CCUUGACAUACUAAGAACUUUCAGNGAUGGAUUGGUGCCUUCGGGAACUUAGAUACAGGUGCUGCAUGGCUGUCGUCAGCUCGUGUCGUGAGAUGUUGGGUUAAGUCCCGNAACGAGCGCAACCCUUUUCCUUAUUUGCCAGCGGGUCAUGCCGGGAACUUUAAGGAUACUGCCAGUGACAAACUGGAGGAAGGCGGGGACGACGUCAAGUCAUCAUGGCCCUUACGGCCAGGGCUACACACGUGCUACAAUGGUCGGUACAAAGGGUUGCUACCUCGCGAGAGGAUGCUAAUCUCAAAAAGCCGAUCGUAGUCCGGAUCGCAGUCUGCAACUCGACUGCGUGAAGUCGGAAUCGCUAGUAAUCGCGGAUCAGAAUGCCGCGGUGAAUACGUUCCCGGGCCUUGUACACACCGCCCGUCACACCAUGGGAGUUUGUUGCACCAGAAGUAGGUAGUCUAACCGCAAGGAGGACGCUUACCACGGUGUGGCCGAUGACUGGGGUGAAGUCGUAACAAGGUAGGCGUAGAUGA
RNAcentral lists this ribosomal RNA (530 nucleotides) under uncultured bacterium. Its description in RNAcentral is "bacterial SSU rRNA". It matches the Rfam family "Bacterial small subunit ribosomal RNA", at positions 979 to 1509 of the family's 1533-position model. The record is from RNAcentral.